AUUGAACGCUGGCGGCAUGCCUUACACAUGCAAGUCGAACGGCAGCGGGGGAGAAGCUUGCUUUUCCUGCCGGCGAGUGGCGAACGGGUGAGUAAUACAUCGGAACGUGCCCUGUAGUGGGGGAUAACUAGUCGCAAGAUUAGCUAAUACCGCAUAGGACCAGAGGGUGAAAGUGGGGGACCGCAACUCCUUAUGCUAUAGUAGACGCCGACGUCUGAUUAGCUAGUUGGUGGGGUAAAGGCCUACCAAGGCGACGAUCAGGAGCUGGUCUGAGAGGACGAUCAGCCACACUGGGACUGAGACACGGCCCAGACUCCUACGGGAGGCAGCAGUGGGUAAUUUUGGACAAUGGGCGAAAGCCUGAUCCAGCAAUGUCGCGUGUGGGAAGAAGGCCUUCGGGUUGUAAAGCACUUUUGUCCGGAAAGAAAUGGCUCUGGUUAAUACCUGGGGUCGAUGACGGUACCGGAAGAAUAAGGACCGGCUAACUACGUGCCAGCAGCCGCCGUAA
This 508-nucleotide ribosomal RNA is filed under the name uncultured bacterium. RNAcentral describes it as "partial 16S ribosomal RNA". It matches the Rfam family "Bacterial small subunit ribosomal RNA", at positions 30 to 523 of the family's 1533-position model. The record is from RNAcentral.